CAACAGGGAUUGCCCUAGUAACGGCGAGUGAAGCGGCAACAGCUCAAAUUUGAAAUCUGGCUUCGGCCCGAGUUGUAAUUUGCAGAGGAUGUUUCUGGCGCGGUGCCUUCCGAGUUCCCUGGAACGGGACGCCAUAGAGGGUGAGAGCCCCGUAUGGUUGGAUACCAAGCCUGUGUGAAACUCCUUCGACGAGUCGAGUAGUUUGGGAAUGCUGCUCAAAAUGGGAGGUAAAUCUCUUCUAAAGCUAAAUAUUGGCCAGAGACCGAUAGCGCACAAGUAGAGUGAUCGAAAGAUGAAAAGCACCUUGAAAAGGGGGUUAAACAGUACGUGAAAUUGUUGAAAGGGAAGCGCUCAUGACCAGACUUGUGCUGGGCAGCUCAUCCGGGGUUCUCCCCGGUGCAUUCUGCCCAGUUCAGGCCAGCAUCGAUUUUUGCUGGGGGAUAAGAACGGUAGGAACGUGGCCCUCCUUCGGGAGGGUGUUAUAGCCUACCGUACGAUACCCUAGCGGAGAUCGAGGUUCGCGCAUCUGCAAGGAUGCUGGCGUAAUGGUCAUCAGCGACCCGUCUUGAAACACGGACCAAGGAGUCGUCCAUUAGAGCGAGCGUUUGGGUGUAAAACCCGCACGCGUAAUGAAAGUGAAAUUAGGUGAGAGCUUCGGCGCAUCAUCGACCGAUCCUGAUGUUCUCGGAUGGAUUUGAGUAAGAGUUUUAACGGACGGACCCGAAGACAGUGAACUAUGCUUGUAUAGGGUGAAGCCAGAGGAAACUCUGGUGGAGGCUCGCAGCGGUUCUGACGUGCAAAUCGAUCGUCAAAUAUGAGCAUGGGGGCGAAAGACUAAUCGAACUGUC
This 848-nucleotide ribosomal RNA is filed under the name Coniella vitis. RNAcentral's name for it is "partial large subunit ribosomal RNA". It matches the Rfam family "Eukaryotic large subunit ribosomal RNA", at positions 66 to 944 of the family's 3401-position model. Lineage: Eukaryota; Fungi; Ascomycota; Sordariomycetes; Diaporthales; Schizoparmaceae. The record is from RNAcentral.